RNAcentral lists this ribosomal RNA (305 nucleotides) under uncultured bacterium. RNAcentral's name for it is "bacterial SSU rRNA". It matches the Rfam family "Bacterial small subunit ribosomal RNA", at positions 336 to 637 of the family's 1533-position model. The record is from RNAcentral.
UUCCUACGGGACGCAGCAGUGAGGAAUAUUGGUCAAUGGGCGGGAGCCUGAACCAGCCAAGUCGCGUGAGGGAAGACGGUCCUAUGGAUUGUAAACCUCUUUAGGCGGGGAGCAAUGCCGGGCACGUGUGCCCGGAGGGAGAGUACCCGCAGAAUAAGCAUCGGCUAACUCCGUGCCAGCAGCCGCGGUAAUACGGAGGAUGCGAGCGUUAUCCGGAUUUAUUGGGUUUAAAGGGUGCGUAGGCGGUUUGAUAAGUUAGAGGUGAAAUGUCGGGGCUCAACCCCGAAACUGCCUCUAAUACUGUU